GUUCUGGAGCAUUGCCCUUCGGGGCAUGAUUCUUCCACAGUGACACUUAUAGAAGCCUCUGCGCUCCUGCAAAGGAGUUCUGCCGCGACUCAAAAUAAUGGAGAGAUGCAAGUCAGCUCGAGCUGGCAACACAAUCGAAAUGCGGGGAUCUCCUAAAGCUCUGCGGUACCAACUGGUAGUGGAAACACUGCUGGGGCCCGUGUUAAUUACACGGGGUAUGGUAAAAACCCGCAGAGAUUAUGCAAUGGACAAUCCGCAGCAAAGCCCCUAACGGCCUAUUAAUGGUGCCCAUGGGGAAUGUUCACAGACUAAGUGAUUGUGGGUCAUAUCUUUGACGGUAUGGUUUAAGAUAUAGUCGGGUCCCUUCAGAGAUGUUGGGAGUAAGAUCACAAAACCGUUCCGUAGGUGAACCUGCGGAAGGAUCAUUACAGAGUCUCUGCCCUCACGGGUAGACCUCCAACCCUUUGUUUUUAUACCUUUGUUGCUUCGGCAGGCCGUCUAGGCUUCGGCCUAGCUAUGGGCUCCGGCUCGUAAGCGCCUGCCAGAAGACCAAUAAAUUCUGAAUAUUAGUGUCGUCUGAGUAAAAACUUAAUAAGUUAAAACUUUCAACAACGGAUCUCUUGGUUCUGGCAUCGAUGAAGAACGCAGCGAAAUGCGAUAAGUAAUGUGAAUUGCAGAAUUCAGUGAAUCAUCGAAUCUUUGAACGCACAUUGCGCCCUUUGGUAUUCCGAAGGGCAUGCCUGUUCGAGCGUCAUUUCAACCCUCAAGCUCUGCUUGGUAUUGGGCCUCGUCUUAAUGACGGGCCUUAAAAUCAGUGGCGGUGCCAUGUGGCUCUAAGCGUAGUAAUUUUCUCGCUAUAGACGUCUAGUGGAUACUUGCCAGCAACCCCCAAUUUUUUAUGGUUGACCUCGGAUCAGGUAGGGAUACCCGCUGAACUUAAGCAUAUCAAUAAGCGGAGGAAAAGAAACCAACAGGGAUUACCUCAGUAACGGCGAGUGAAGCGGUAACAGCUCAAAUUUGAAAUCUGCCUACAGGCCGAGUUGUAAUUUGUAGAAGAUGCUUCGGGUGUGGCUCCGGUCUAAGUUCCUUGGAACAGGACGUCAUAGAGGGUGAGAAUCCCGUAUGUGACUGGUUGCCUAUGCUCAUGUGAAGCUCUUUCAACGAGUCGAGUUGUUUGGGAAUGCAGCUCAAAAUGGGUGGUAUAUUUCAUCUAAAGCUAAAUAUUGGCCAGAGACCGAUAGCGCACAAGUAGAGUGAUCGAAAGAUGAAAAGCACUUUGGAAAGAGAGUUAAACAGUACGUGAAAUUGUUGAAAGGGAAGCGCUUGCAACCAGACUUGCACGUUGUCGAUCAUCCGAUGUUCUCACCGGUGCACUCGAUUUCGUUCAGGCCAGCAUCGGUUUUGGUGGUUAGAUAAAGGCCUUAGGAAUGUGGCUCUUUCGGGAGUGUUAUAGCCUAGGGUGCAAUGUAGCCUACCGGGACCGAGGACCGCGCU
RNAcentral lists this ribosomal RNA (1494 nucleotides) under fungal sp. genotype 786 JMUR-2016. RNAcentral describes it as "eukaryotic LSU rRNA". The stretch from base 904 to 1494 matches the Rfam family "Eukaryotic large subunit ribosomal RNA", at positions 1 to 600 of the family's 3401-position model. Lineage: Eukaryota; Fungi. The record is from RNAcentral.